UCGCCCUGCUAAGAAGCGUGUGUGCUUGUACAAAGGCCGUUCAGCCUCGGGAUUUACACUCGGCUCGACACGGAUAUGUGAAGAAUGAAGGGACCCUGCAGCGAAACGGAGAGCGCAACCUCUGACUGAGUGCCUGUCUACACAGUCUGACCACCUGUUGAAGGGCUGUUUGAUGACGAUUUGGACUCCUCUGGGAGAUGAGGACACACCCACAUCUGUUCCAUACUGCAGCCAUGGAUGGUGUUACAGCUCCGAGUCAGCUUUGGGCCAUCAGACGCACACACUGGAAAACCAGCACCUGGACUUCAUGCAGGAGAGAUGGCCUCAGUGAUGUAGGUUCAUAAAAUUCAUCAGCAGCUGUGAAGAGAUGCAUUUGAAUAUCUUCUGGUUCCACUUUUCCUAACCUGGAAGCUGAGGAUGGCUGAUUUCUGACAAGGACACACACCUCAGCG
Long non-coding RNA from Pelmatolapia mariae (spotted tilapia), 452 nucleotides. RefSeq lists it as uncharacterized. The record is from RefSeq and is a predicted model, not a curated record. The transcript has 3 exons. NCBI's taxonomy places the organism in Eukaryota, Metazoa, Chordata, Actinopteri, Cichliformes, Cichlidae.